RNAcentral lists this ribosomal RNA (402 nucleotides) under uncultured bacterium. RNAcentral's name for it is "partial 16S ribosomal RNA". It matches the Rfam family "Bacterial small subunit ribosomal RNA", at positions 355 to 774 of the family's 1533-position model. The record is from RNAcentral.
UGGGGAAUCUUGCGCAAUGGGCGAAAGCCUGACGCAGCCAUGCCGCGUGAAUGAUGAAGGUCUUAGGAUUGUAAAAUUCUUUCACCGGGGACGAUAAUGACGGUACCCGGAGAAGAAGCCCCGGCUAACUUCGUGCCAGCAGCCGCGGUAAUACGAAGGGGGCUAGCGUUGCUCGGAAUUACUGGGCGUAAAGGGAGCGUAGGCGGACUGUUAAGUUAGAGGUGAAAGCCCAGGGCUCAACCUUGGAAUUGCCUUUGAUACUGGCAGUCUUGAGGACGGAAGAGGUAUGUGGAACUCCGAGUGUAGAGGUGAAAUUCGUAGAUAUUCGGAAGAAGACCAGUGGCGAAGGCGACAUACUGGUCCGUUACUGACGCUAAGGCUCGAAAGCGUGGGGAGCAAACA